RNAcentral lists this ribosomal RNA (460 nucleotides) under uncultured bacterium. Its description in RNAcentral is "partial 16S ribosomal RNA". It matches the Rfam family "Bacterial small subunit ribosomal RNA", at positions 338 to 795 of the family's 1533-position model. The record is from RNAcentral.
CCUACGGGUGGCAGCAGUGAGGAAUAUUGGUCAAUGGACGAGAGUCUGAACCAGCCAAGUAGCGUGAAGGAUGACUGCCCUAUGGGUUGUAAACUUCUUUUAUAUGGGAAUAAAAUGUUCCACGUGUGGGAUUUUGUAUGUACCUUAUGAAUAAGGAUCGGCUAACUCCGUGCCAGCAGCCGCGGUAAUACGGAGGAUCCGAGCGUUAUCCGGAUUUAUUGGGUUUAAAGGGAGCGUAGGUGGUUUGUUAAGUCAGUUGUGAAAGUUUGCGGCUCAACCGUAAAAUUGCAGUUGAAACUGGCAGUCUUGAGUUCAGUAGAAGUGGGCGGAAUGCGUGGUGUAGCGGUGAAAUGCUUAGAUAUCACGAAGAACUCCGAUUGCGAAGGCAGUUCACUGGACUGCAACUGACACUGAGGCUCGAAAGUGUGGGUAUCAAACAGGAUUAGAUACCCGAGUAGUC